UUAAUUUCAAUUUAAUUAUAGAUCCAAUUGCUUUAUUAUAAAAUGGGGACUUCCAAUACACUAAAGGGGGAUACUAGAACACCUUAUACAUGCUACACAUUGUGACCUCAUUCACGUACCCACACAUUAGAAUAUACCGUUCAUACACUAAUACACUAGAAAUCCUUACCUCAAAAUUUCCAACUUUUUUUUCUCUCCACGUUUUAUUCUCUUACCAUGUAAUAUCCUUCACCAAUAACCGAAACCUGUAAAUAAAUUUUCAGCAAUAAUAACAUCCAAUAUUAACCUCAAUAAACCAAGAACUUCCAUAUACCACAAUCUCUACCAUAACUUAAAAUUUUCAAAAUCCAACCCUUUCAUAAGCUCUGUCAACCCAAAACUCUCCUUUAUCAAACACCAUCUUUUCUCACACCAACAUUACCACACCAAAAACAUAUACCAUGAACCUUCACCUCACAUCCAUACAAAUUCAAACCCAAUUAACAUACCACAAAUAUUCAUCACAUCAACACAAAGACCAUCACAAAUCCAUAAACCAUCAAACCUUUGUAACAAAAAACUUAACAUACCAUAACAACAAUUCACAGUAAAUAAAAGUCAAAUUCAGAAAACGAAGAAGAAAAGCAGCACCU
Molecule: long non-coding RNA, 632 nt
Filed under: Lathyrus oleraceus (garden pea)
Lineage: Eukaryota; Viridiplantae; Streptophyta; Magnoliopsida; Fabales; Fabaceae
Description: Pisum sativum (pea) long non-coding RNA (PSAT_LNC028285)
Source: RNAcentral